GAUGAACGCUGGCGGCGUGCCUAAUACAUGCCAGUCGAGCGAACAGACGAGGAGCUUGCUCCUCUGACGUUAGCGGCGGACGGGUGAGUAACACGUGGAUAACCUACCUAUAAGACUGGGAUAACUUCGGGAAACCGGAGCUAAUACCGGAUAAUAUAUUGAUCCGCAUGGUUCAAUAGUGAAAGACGGUUUUGCUGUCACUUAUAGAUGGAUCCGCGCCGCAUUAGCUAGUUGGUAAGGUAAGGGCUUACCAAGGCAACGAUGCGUAGCCGACCUGAGCGGGUGGUAGGCAACACUGGAACUGAGACAUGGUCCAGACUCCUACGGGAGGCAGCAGUCGGGAAUCUUACGCAAUGGGCGAAAGCCUGACGGAGCACCGCCGCGUGAGUGAUGAAGGUCUUCGGAUCGUAAAACUCUGUUAUUAGGGAAGAACAAAUGUGUAAGUAACUAUGCACGUCUUGACGGUACCUAAUCAGAAAGCCACGGCUAACUACGUG
RNAcentral lists this ribosomal RNA (497 nucleotides) under uncultured bacterium. RNAcentral's name for it is "partial 16S ribosomal RNA". It matches the Rfam family "Bacterial small subunit ribosomal RNA", at positions 28 to 507 of the family's 1533-position model. The record is from RNAcentral.